Acipenser ruthenus (sterlet) is the source of this 1953-nucleotide long non-coding RNA. RefSeq lists it as uncharacterized. The transcript is spliced from 4 exons. The record is from RefSeq and is a predicted model, not a curated record. Lineage: Eukaryota; Metazoa; Chordata; Actinopteri; Acipenseriformes; Acipenseridae.
ACAAUCGAUGCCGAUGUGGGCUCGCUAGAUCACUGUGUGUUGGAAGGCCGUGUAUUAUUGUGAGCAUUUUGUUUUCAGCGCCAGUUGCAUUUAGCUAGUAGUUUAAUUGUUUUGCUGAGCAUUCUCCUUCAAUUUGUUCUUAACCGUAUUGUGUCUGUUUUAAGUGGGUUAGAUUCACAAUUUCUGCAUGCUAUAGUGGUAUAGUAAUAUUUUAUAGUUUAUAUUUUUGUCCCUUUUUUUUUUUCAAGGAUUUUUCGCCCCAUACAGAGGACCGUCUUCAAAAAGACGAACGUUCCCACUCCAGCGCCGUGUUGGUGUUAUUACACUCACAACUUCUGCUGUCUAAAACGGAAAACCAUUUCCACGGUGCCGACUAGACAGCAGAAAAAGACGAAUUGAAUGUAGCAGGACUGGGGGAGAAAAGAAUCUCCUUUCAAGGUUGUGACAGCAGCUGUGAAGGAUUCAGAAGCCAGUUAUUCAAAUCUUAUCCCAAACUGAGUGAAGGUGGUGGAUUUGAACAAAUGAAGAUUUCAGGAUCUACGAGAAGCCGGAUCUAGGCUGUUAUUCCUUGCCCUAAUGAGGGGCACUCAGCAAAAUAUUUAAGGGACCCAGAAACCCAAAUUGUCUGCUGCAAUUCAUUUUGUAGGUUCCUGGACUGUCCUUAUCCACUGGGCCCCUGAUGAAGUGCCUCUUUUGUGAGAGACUUUUCUUUCUCAGAAAUAGUCACAGUGACAGCUGUAGCAGCAGUGAAGAAGACAAAAGCAUUAUACUGCAAUUGGCAUUAAGCUGGGAUCUUCCAGGGGUGACAGAAGAAAAUCGGCAUUGGCUAAUGGACAAACUCCUCCUUCACGCUAUGAUCCUUGAAAGAAUCACCUGGCCCACACUGAAUGUGGAGGAAGAUGAUGAUGAGGAUGACUGUUCUCUUGAGACUAAAUGCCGUAUCACAGGUGUAAGAAAGAGCGGUGUCGCCUUUAAGAAAUGGCGACGCCAUUUGAAAGACUACGCAACCCAGGAACCUUAGCACUAAUGGGCAAGGCGGGGUUUCUGGGUAUAAAGGGAAGUGGAGCAGGACAGCAGGGGGUGAUUUGGGGAGCACCGCCGGUUUGUCCUGCUGAAUAGUUCCCAGAAGGUUGAGAGUGCAUUACGUAGUAUUGUAAGGUAAAGUGAACGUUUGGUUUCUUUUUUGAACAAGAGUUGUGUUUUGUUUAUACCGUGAGCGUUUUCCUCUUGGUGAGGUAGUCUUUUGUUUUGACAAAGUUUGAUUUAUUUUAUGAAACGUUGGUAGAUAAACGCUGCCUCUCGGUAGUUAAUUUAAAACAGUUCCGCAGUUUUCGUGACGAUUGGGAACCGUCACAACUGCCGUCUAUUUGUGUAUGUGUGUUUGACUCGGGACUCGGAGGGAAAGCGCGCAUUCAUGCGCUGCAGGAACAGCGGGCUGUAACAGAGAGAACUGAGGCAGCAGUCUGGUUUUCUGGACGUGCUUUAUUGUGACACACAUGAACAACAGUACCCACAGGUGGUGUGGACAGUAUGGAUAUUGUGCUUGAACUCGGAGACACUCCCGUGUUUCCGUGAACGACUGGGACGUCAGCUGCAGGGGUCCUUCCCCACAGCCUGGAUACAAUUCUUUAUCAACAGAGCCCUUCUUCUGGGAGGGCCCAUUCCAUACUUGCUUACGCUUACCUGUGUUACAGCAAGACUCCAGCAGAGGGAGUCUGCGCUAUCCUUGCCUGUGUUGCAGAGAUACUCCAGCAGAGGGUAUCUUCUUUGUUCUUACCUGUGUUGCAGAGAUACUCCAGCAGAGGGUGUCUUCUUUGUCCUUACCUGUGUUGCAGAGAUACUCCAGCAGAGGGUGUCUUCUUUGUUCUUACCUGUGUUGCAGCAAGACUCCAGCAGAGGGAGUCUGCGCUAUCCUUACCUGUGUUGCAGAGACACUCCAGCAGAGGGUGUCUU